RNAcentral lists this ribosomal RNA (440 nucleotides) under uncultured bacterium. RNAcentral's name for it is "bacterial SSU rRNA". It matches the Rfam family "Bacterial small subunit ribosomal RNA", at positions 338 to 770 of the family's 1533-position model. The record is from RNAcentral.
CCUACGGGGGGCAGCAGUGGGGAAUAUUGCACAAUGGGCGCAAGCCUGAUGCAGCCAUGCCGCGUGUAUGAAGAAGGCCUUCGGGUUGUAAAGUACUUUCAGCGGGGAGGAAGGGAGUAAAGUUAAUACCUUUGCUCAUUGACGUUACCCGCAGAAGAAGCACCGGCUAACUCCGUGCCAGCAGCCGCGGUAAUACGGAGGGUGCAAGCGUUAAUCGGAAUUACUGGGCGUAAAGCGCACGCAGGCGGUUUGUUAAGUCAGAUGUGAAAUCCCCGGGCUCAACCUGGGAACUGCAUCUGAUACUGGCAAGCUUGAGUCUCGUAGAGGGGGGUAGAAUUCCAGGUGUAGCGGUGAAAUGCGUAGAGAUCUGGAGGAAUACCGGUGGCGAAGGCGGCCCCCUGGACGAAGACUGACGCUCAGGUGCGAAAGCGUGGGGAGCA